GUCAGUUUCAGUUUAGACAUCACAUACAACAGAGCUGCAGGGCAGACGCGUGUGGCCUGUACGCCUUAUAUUUUUUUUGUUGCUAUUCAGAAGAAUAUAUAUAUUUACCAAUACGCGACGCGUCAAACAAGUGUUUGUGUGUGUAUUUUGUUGCUGUGCUUAUUCAAAUAUUAAUGCGCGCAAGUGCAUUUGAUAAUAGACAGCGUGCCUACCCUUCAGACAGCUCCACAAUUAUACUAAAUAUAUAACUACACACAAAUUAAGUGCGCUGCUGUUUCGCCAAAUUGGAAAAGGGUGCUAACGCUAUGUGGAGUCCAACACAUUGCAGUGUAACUGUUCAGCGUGCGCGAGGUCUUCUGACAAAAGGCAAGAAUGGCACCAACAACUGUUUCGUCACAAUUGCCCUGGGCAAGGAGAAGUACCAGACAUCAGUCAAGGACAAGGCGGAGGCAACCGUCAACUGGAACGAGGAGUGCGAACUCAAAAUUCCGGAUCAGGGCAAUCGGGCAGAGCUGACGCUGACUUGCUUGCACCGCAAUAAUCUGGGCAUCGAUGAAUUUCUCGGCCAGGCGACGCUGCCACUCAAGGACAUGGACGUCUAUGACAGGCCGCGCGCCAAGUGGUUAAAGCUGGAGAGCAAGCCGGGCAAGGAGAAGAAGAACAAGGAGCGCGGCGAACUGGAGGUGCGCAUCGCGUUCGUUGUCAAAUCCGGAUCGCUGACAGAUCUUAGCAAGAAGGACAAGCACAAGUCUUCCAUUGGGCAGCUGGCCAGUUCUGUGGGCGGCAGCCUGCUCUCCAUUGGCCAGGGUGAGAAGCGCAAGAGCAUCAAGAAGCUGGCUGGCUCGCUCAGCUCGAAGCUGCACAUACGCAGCAAGAAGAAGCAUGCCGAUGGCGAUGACAGCGGCUCGUUUAGCGGCUCCUUUGCCAGCAUCGGCACCCCGAACAGCUCCUCGGGCCUGGGCGGCAUUGGCGGCGGCAGCGGACGCAGGCGGGGCCAACGUGCCGGCGAAGCUGAUCCCGGUGUAAUAAGCGAGGACGAGGACGAGUUUGUGUUCGACAAUCUGUCCCACAAGAGCUCUGGCAGCUCGCUGAACAUCCAGCGCUCCGGCCUGCAGCCGCCUUCAUCUGGUGGUGGCGCCAACAAUUUCGCUCCGCGCAACCCGUCGCCGCUGCUGAGCAACGGAAACGGUGGUGGUGGUGGCCCGAAGGGAAAACUCAACGGAGGUAAGCCCAUAAUGCAAGAGACACUCGAUGAGGAUCCAAUCGUUGCGGAGAUGGAACAGCUUGAGCUCGAUUUCAGCGUUCGUGCGCGCACUCUGCCACCUCCCUCAAAGCCGCCGCGCACCCCGCAGACACAGCAAGAGCUGGAGUCGGAACGCGAACGUGAACGUGAACGUGAACGUGAACGGGAACGGGAAGGUGAUGGGCAAACACAAGUGGAGGCAUCUCCAAUCCAGGUGGAUGAGUGGGAAUCCAAGUUGUAUGGUGGCGGCAAGUAUUUAGAGAUUGGCAGCAGCGAUUCCUUGAAGCGUCGCAGCUGGGAGACGCGCGUACCGUUGCCGGCAACCAGCGAGGAGCCACCGCCGGUGCCAUCGGCAAGCUCCUCCUCUAGUUCCUCAGACACUGAGGAGGAAGAAGAAGAGGAAGAGGAGCCAGUGCCGGAGCAGCCGCUGCCGCCAAAGACAGCACCGCCACCGCCAUUGCCUUCCGAUGAUAGAAGCAGCAAGAGCGGCAACUCGCUCUUCUCGCCAGAUGUCGAGCCGCGUAACUUUGAUGCACUCAAUGCGAGCUUCGCCAAGUUUGAGCAACGCAACAGCACCGCAAUCUUUGCAGAUGAAGAGCUGACUCCUGAGCCGGUCGCGCCCAGAUCGCAUCCGAUGAGCGAGCCGCCACAGCCGUUACCAAGUGUAAGACCCACACCACAGCCGCGCGGCACAACAAGUGAGCAGCUGAAGGCCGAGACGGCGGCACUGGCUAAGGCAGAGGCUGCUGCCGAAGAGGAAGCUGCACGUCAGCGACGCGCAGAAGAAGAUGCGCGCCUGGAGGCCGAGCUGCGUCUGAACGAGCAGCGGCUGCGCGAAGAGGAGGCGGCGCUGCAACAGGAGCUGGAAUUACAGCAGGAGGAGCAGCGGCGGCGCGAUGCCAAGCGCCGUGAGGAGGAUCAAAGACUCUUGAGCUUUGCCAAGCGCUCCACCUCCCUGGAGGAGCCGCAAUCAAAAGCUCAGACCAUUGCCGAGGACCAAACCGUGGCCGUUGCCAUGGCCAUGGCCGUGGCUGUCGCCGAUGUAGAUCCAAGCAUAGAGCAUAACUUGUUAACGCCCGAGCAAUCGCCCAAGGAGUUCAGCAGCAUUGGCGGCGGCGUCGGCGGCGGCAUCGGCAGCGGCAGCGGCAGCGGUGAGCGCUGGGAGAAGCGACUGGGCAAAUUUAAAUACGGCAAUAAGCGAGACAAACAGAACGAUACGGAUAGCAACUCGCCCAGCCCCAAGUCCACGGAGCGCAUUAUUAUUGGACACGAAAAGUCUGGUUCGCAUGCGGAACGCCGCUCCGAGAUCUCCGCACAAUUGGCCAAAAAAUACGAGGGAAAGUCACGGGAGGAGCUGAUGCUGAUCGCCAAUGGCAUGGAGAAUGAGGCAUUGUUGCAACGCCAGCGCGUCAAAGAGCUGGAGGACUAUCUGGAUAAUUUGCUGUUGCGCGUAAUGGAAACGCAUCCCAAAAUCUUGCAGAAUCCCUAUUCGCGAACCACAUCGGCCAAAAGUUAUAAAAAUUACAUCAAUAUGAAUGACUUUUUAAAGUAAGUGCUGUGAAUUUUCGGCAUGCAGUUGCACGCACACUUAACAACAAGCAACAACAAAACUCAUAUGCACUCAAAAAACACAACAGCUAAAACCAAGAUCAGCCAACAGCCCCUGAGACCCCCGUUCAACAGCAGCAGCAGCAGCAGUAGCAGUAACAGCGGCAGCAGCAGCAACAACUACAACAUUAACAACAACAGCUAAAUUAACAAACAACAACAACAACAACAGCAGCAGCAACCGAAGCAAAGACGGUUAAGUGUGACAGCAGCCAAACUAUGUUCGCAGCAAGCAGCGCUUAUUGUCGGAGAAGCACAGAAGGGAGAAGCUGAGCCGCGGCGAACGUUCAAAAUGUAACAUGUAACAUAGAAACAAAAAGAACACCAAGUUGCCUUUGUCAUUAGAGAAAUUCAAGUGCUUUCUUAUUGUAUUUUUAGCAUUACAUUUACACACACUAUAACAACUCUUAGAAAUUAAGCUAUUAUAAAUAUAUAUAUAUAUAGUUUUUUUUUUUUUUUUUUUGCUAAACGAAUGACUACUAAACAAAAAGGCCCAACAAAUUUGUGGUUAACUUUUUCUGUGUGUAUUGUUUUACGUGUAACAUGAUAUUCGGUUUUUCAUUUGCCCUGUGUUAAUAUUUGAACGAAACUAAAUUCAAUUAAAUUAUAUGUAAAAUGUAAAUUAUUGUCAACAAUUUGCUAAACUGUUUUGCUAGACAAUUAGACAAUUGUAAAGUUUUGUUUCGAUUCAACUGAUUAAUUGAAAUUAUCCAAAAGUAUUUUUUAUUUGCAUUUUAAAAUGUGUCUUGUUUUAUGCGAAGAGUCCUGCAAUAUCGGCUACGAUUGCAACAAUUUAUAGUUAAGUAAAUCUUAAAUUAUUUAUGUAUUAGACAAUUAAGUGAAAAUUGAGCAAUAAGCGAGGAGAGAACUACAUUCAGUUAUACAUAUGUUGAUAAAUGAUUUUACUUAUUAAACAACAAAUAAAAACAA
RNA transcript from Drosophila virilis, 3781 nucleotides. It is a transcript of the gene named Rab11 interacting protein, with no coding region annotated. Lineage: Eukaryota; Metazoa; Arthropoda; Insecta; Diptera; Drosophilidae. The record is from RefSeq and is a predicted model, not a curated record.